Molecule: unclassified non-coding RNA, 1145 nt
Filed under: Hevea brasiliensis (rubber tree)
Lineage: Eukaryota; Viridiplantae; Streptophyta; Magnoliopsida; Malpighiales; Euphorbiaceae
Source: RNAcentral
AGACUUGUCAUUUUACAACAGCUAUAAUCAAAUGUCCAUCUUGGGUUCAUAUUCAUCAAAAAAUAAGUUGGAAAAGGUACCCCUGGCCUAACAUGCAAUAUGUGCUUGCAUAAUAUAGAAAUGAUGAAACCUCAUUCUCAAGAAUUUACAUAGAAAUUUCAUGAUAAAUGACACAAGCAAACAUUUAUCAAUUGGCAAAUAUAUGCAAAGGGAAAAACUAAGCAUCUUGUAAAGGCUGCAACAAAAUACAUACACCAGAAGAGAAUAAGAGAUUACUUUUAUUUUUCAAAUGUUAGAUGAAUUCUUAUAAAGAUUAUCAGAAAUAGUUUAGCUGUAAUUAAGACUAAUUCAUGAUCUAACUAGAAUUAGUUCAUUUCAAGCUUCACCAGAAAUUCAAACCUCAAUUAAUUACAUUAAUCAGAACUAUGUAAUUGUCACCACAGCUCCAAAUAAUCAUUCUUCUUAUAAGUAACUAGUUAAACACUUUAAGCAGUAUGAAUUAAUAUUUUUAGGCCAUGGAAGGAUGUUCAGAAGUUAAAAUAGCAGCCACAUUUGACCUUCACUUCCAUCCGUGUUGCUUUCAACAUGAUCACCAUAAUCACGAAAGUCUAUAAAACUUCAGCUAUCAAGAAAGGAUCCAAUUCAAAAUGAUAGUGUCAACACAAAAUAAAAUGAAAAACUAAAGCCACAACAAAAGACUUGAAAUUACAAAUGUUUGACACAUCCAGACAAUAGGAGCAGUGGCACAUCCAGAAAAUAAGAGCAGUUAAUAUGUUAAGGAAUAAAAAUGCUUCAGCCUUCACAACAAAAUAAGAAAAGGUAAUUUUACUUUGAAAAGAAGUAAGUUUAAGGGGAUGGAGAAAUGAAAGAAAUAGAAAAGCAAAUUUAAGCAGUAUUCAUAUCAUAAACUAAAUUUGAAAUUUUUUUCAUAUAUUCUUCUUCUACUGAGAAGAGCUAGCUGACAGGAAAAUAUACAAUUUUGUAGGACUAAAUAUUGUAGUUCUACAACUUUGAUGCCGCUACUAAACAAUUCAAAUGCAUGAAUUAUAACUAACACUGAUUGGGAAUGAAAGAAGAUCCUUGAAAUACAUGCAACCACAAAAUUGAGAUCAGCAACUUACUCCUUUUGCAAGAUAAUGUAACCA